Molecule: long non-coding RNA, 1725 nt
Organism: Oncorhynchus keta (chum salmon)
Lineage: Eukaryota; Metazoa; Chordata; Actinopteri; Salmoniformes; Salmonidae
Exons: 3
Source: RefSeq, a predicted model, not a curated record
GAGAGAGAGAGAGAGAGACAGGAGAGGUAGAGAGCUGUUUCUUCUGCUGUACUUUAAAAGGCACAGAAAUAGCUGAGUCUUGCAGGAGACAACUUGAAGGGCUUUGGUGGUAUAAAUACCUAAAUAUAUAUAUAUAUAUAAAUACCCUGCUUUAAACAGGUUAAAGAGAAACGCUCCGUCACCUGUCACCAGCACACAGAGGGAGAGAGAGAGAAGACAGGAGGAGGAACAUACUGGAACUUACACAAGGAAGAGGGAGAGGUAUCUAGUCUGUAUAUCGGACAGUGGUUGGUACGUGCGUGGAAAACCUCAACUCCUCUACUGUUCUCUAUGACCGGCUGCUCUGAACUCACCUGGACGGACAGAUGAGAAGGAGAGAACACAGAGAAGGACAGUAGUGGAUCAGAGAGAGCUGCACCUCGUCGACAGAGGACGACAGACUACCCACCAAAACCACCGGCUGGCCGACCGACCGACCGACUCCUCCCUUUCGGUGGCUUUAUUGAAUGGGUCCGUGGGCACAGCGGAGCUGGAGAAUUUACAAUACGUGUCCCUCAGGAGUACUCCUGUCCUACACGCGUAGCUGUGCCCCGAGCAGCGAGCUGCGAAACACAGCCAAUAAAUCAAUAGCAGGGACCUCUGAUUCCUCCAUUACACCACCACCCCCCCAGCAGCUGAGCUACAGAUGAGAACCUGCUGACCAGGGCCUAACCACCACAGCCCCUGGAGGACAGCCGUGGAGGACAGCCCUGGAGGACAGCCCUGGAGGACAGCCCUGGAGGACAGCCCUGGGGGACAGCCGUGGAGGACAGCCCUGGUUCUGGACCCUCUCUAACCAUCAACACAAGACAAGGGUGUUCUGACUGCGGUGGUGAGGAGGGCGGAGGCCCUGGUUCUGGACCCUCUCUAACCAUCAACACAAGACAAGGGUGUUCUGACUGCGGUGGUGAGGAGGGCGGAGGCCCUGGUUCUGGACCCUCUCUAACCAUCAACACAAGACAAGGGUGUUCUGACUGCGGUGGUGAGGAGGGCGGAGGCCUUGUUGUGGUCCCUCUGGUUCCAUUUGGAGCUACAAUACACCCGAAUGCAGCUAAACACAGAGAAGCCCCACAAUGACAUCUUGAAAAUACUUAUUUUAUAGUUAUUUUCUCUCUCCUCUUAUUUCUAGACCUUCGAGUCCUUGUGUUUUUAUUCAAGCGGGUUUUUACACAGGGAGAAAAUAACACGAGUAUAAGCAUUGUCCGUGAUGCUGCUUUUUGAGGAUUACGUCUUGAUGUUUGACAGGGAAAUUUAAUUCAGGCUUUAAAAACCCCCGUCCCAGUAUUUCCCAUGUCCUCUGUCGCCAUAGUAAUCAAGGUCGUCCACGUUCAGAGUGUUAUUUGAGACUGAGCAACAAUAGCAUGACCGUAUACACACUCCAUCUCAAGGGCCCCAGCCUUAAUCCACCGGCCCCUGGAACAAAUCAUAUCUGAUGUGUGAAAAGAAAAAGAGACAACCCAACAGAACCCAACAGAACCCAACAGAACCCAACAGAACAGAACCCAACAGAACCCAACAGAACCCAACAGAACCCAACAGAACCCAACAGAACCCAACAGAACCCAACAGAACCCAACCCAACAGAACACAACAGAACCCAACACAACAGAACCCAACAGAACCCAACAGAACCCAACAGAACAGAACCCAACAGAACCCAACAGAACAGAACACAACAGAACCCAA